Molecule: long non-coding RNA, 3231 nt
Filed under: Sus scrofa (pig)
Lineage: Eukaryota; Metazoa; Chordata; Mammalia; Artiodactyla; Suidae
Description: lncRNA (ENSSSCG00015068416.1)
Source: RNAcentral
GCUCAUGGCAACCCUGGAUCCUUAACCCCCUGAUCGAGGCCAGGGAUCGAACCCCCACCCUCAUGGAUCCUAGUCAGGUUCCUUACCUCUGAGCCACAACAGGAACUCCCAGCAUCCGCCCUUUUUUAAAUCUCCAUAUUUUGUAGCCUGAGAUUGAUGGCUAGCAUCAAAAAAAGAGGCAACUGUAAACAAUAUGAAUGCUUUCCUAGAGUUUUUUGACGAUUGAUUCAACAAUAUUUAUAUCAAAAAGGUAUCAAAGUGAUGCACAUGGGUAGAAAUCUCACAGAAAAGCCUUUAAUGGAAAGCAGCCUCCCUCCUCUCCCCUUCCCACUUUCAGUCCUGCUGCCUAGAGGCAAACACUUACACCAGUUUUUGGUUUCUUGAUUUUUCCAGUCUGUGUUUUCUGGGAUCUCUCCUUGUCCUGUCUUCUACCCUAUAGGAUAGAGAAUACAGUUCUUCAAGGGAGCAGGAACCCGUGUGACUUGACAUGAUGUGAAGUCACAUAAGGUUCAUUAUCUCUGUGAAGGAUGCUUAGUCACAUAGUGGUCGCUGUAUUUGUGCAGAGGUGCAUGGUACCAGAUUUAUUGGCAUAAUGAGUUUAAAAAGUCUAAAUUAAAGAAAGUUGGGGGGCUCUUCGUCGUGGCUCAGUGGAAAUGACUCUGACUAGUAUCCAUCCAUGAGGACCCACGUUUGAUCCCUGGCCUUGCUCAGUGAGAUAAGAAUCUGGCCUUGCCAUGAGCUGUGGUGUAGGUCGAAGAUGUGGCUCGGAUCUGAUGUGGUUGUGACUGUGGUGUAGGCUGGCACUUACAGCUCCAAUUAGACCCCUAGCCUGGAAACCUCCAUAUGCCAAGGGUGCGACCCUAGAAAGGAAAAAAAAAAAAAAGUUGGUUUUUGUCUGUGUUUAGAGAGCAAUCCUAUAAACAGUGAAACUAGAAAGUAUUAUAAUAAAAGUAUAAAAAGAAGGUGUUGGAGUUCCCGUCGUGGCGCAUGGUUAACGAAUCCGACUAGGAACCACGAGGUUGAGGGUUCGAUCCCUGGCCUCGCUCAGCGGGUUAAGGAUCCGUGAGCUGUGGUGUAGGUCGCAGAUGCCACUCAGAGCCAGCAUUGCUGUGGCUGUGGCGCAGGCCAGCAGCUGUAGCUUGGAUUCAGCCCCUGGCCUGGGAACCUCCAUAUGCCUCAGGUGUGGCACACACACACACAAAAAAAAAAAAAAAAAAAAAAAAAAAGAAAAGAAAAAUAGAGCAUGUUUAUUAAGACAGAAAUCCCCACUCUGCCCUCCUCUGCAUCUACUCUACAUUGUUUGUUUCUCCUUAAAAAUAGCUAUUAUCUUGAUUUUGGUGAUAAUGUUUGCUUUAUAGUUGUAAGCCUUUGGACUUUGUUUAAACGGAUCAUACCAUGUAUAUGCUAUAGGGACCUGCUGCUUUCGUUUAACUCUGAGAUUUCUCUGAAUUAAUUUUAAUUGCAGUAUAGUAGUUCAUCGUCAGUCCAUAUACCAGAACGCAUUUAGUCUCUCUUGUUGAUGGCGGUAGAUUAUUUCCAGUUUGGGAACACUUUUGCACAUGAUUCUUGGAACAUAUGUGCAAAGAAUUCUCUGUUGUAUCAUCAAACGGAGGUGUGUGAAGAGGUUACAAAGCGUAUGGAGAGAAUGAAUAGUCUAAGAUAAUUUAGAGUGUUUCAUUAUCUUUCUGGGCAACAGAUGCCUGCCAUUGAUGCCUUCUUAACCCAUUGGGCAUCUUACUAUGGUGUUUUUUGUCCUGGGGGCUCAAAUCCUCCAGGACCCUAAACAAAUGGGCAAUUGAUGCCUUUACAGGAAGUUGCAGGCAUUGGCAUUUUUGACUACCAAACAGUAAGUGCCUCCCAUUUAUUAAUUAGGAGCAAAUGGAAGUAGAAGUCAUAGGAUUUUAUAGUUGGAAGGGUUCUUAUAAGUCAUGCAAUUUAGGCGUCUCUUAGGUUUUUUUAAUAUUCCUUUUCAUUCCAUCUGAUAUAAUUUAUUGAUUCAUUCAGCAGUUAUUUAUUGUCUGUCUUGAGGCUGGUGACUAUAGCAGUGAACCAAACAUAGAAACCUUAUUCAUAAGGUUUCAUAAUUAACUUUCAUUUAAAACUAUAUUAUAAUGUAUAUGAUGAUGAGAGAAAAUUGCAGAUAAAUAUAUUAGUAUUCUCCAAGCCCUCUGUGUGAACUGCUGAGAUGAGGAAAGCGUACUAGAACUUAUCUUUUUUAACAGCUUUAUUUUACCAAGGUGGGGGGGGGAAUAUAUUCCAGAGAGUUUUCUCUCUAUAUUGCUCUUCUCCGAAGAAAGGGCCCAUUUGAAGGGCAUGUAAUAAAUAAUAGCCUGUACUUGAAAAUACCUUGUAUACUGAUAAAUAUAGCCCAUGUAAACAAAAGGUGUUUAUGGUACUCAAUACUUUUCAAGAGUAAAAAGGGAUCUUGUCACUGCAAGAAUGAUGCUCUGUUGCAACUAGUAAUUUAAAUAUCAUUAUUACAGAUAAAUCCUUUUUCCCUAUCUCAGUAUUUUUUAGGAAACUCUGGUUAAGUAUCUUGCCUGAGAUUGAACAAUUUAAUAGAUCAUUGGUACUUUUAGCCUUUGACUUAGUCCUUUUUUAUAACUAGUAAAGCAGAGUUUUAUUGAAGAACAGCCAGUUUGAGGAGAAGUUGAAAAAAAAUCACAAGUAUUCUAGACCAGAACAACUAGAAUAAAAACAGUAGUUUGAAGGUUUAUUUUUCCCAAUGAAGAAAAUCAUAGAUGGUCACCUUGUUUGUGCCCUUCCCAAUUCCUUCUUUAAAAAAAUAGCAAAAUUUACUAAAAUUGCGGAGAAUAUUAAUUAUUAUAUUUAAUUAUAAAAUUAAGCUUGCUGAUAAAGGAAUCCAAAUUAAGUGAAAUAUUCUUUUUUUUGCCCAUAUCAUAUUGACAAAAGUUAAAGUAUUGUGGAUUGAUGACAAUGCCAUUAAAUGUGCACGUACAGGAGUUCCCGUCAUGGCGCAGUGGUUAACGUAUCCGACUAGGAACCAGGAGGUUGCGGGUUCGAUCCCUGCCCUUGCUCAGUGGGUUAAGGAUCCAGCGUAAGCGCUGUAGUGUAGGUUGCAGACGCAGCUUGGAUCCCGUGUUGCUGUGGCUCUGGCAUAGGCCGGUGGCUACAGUUUCAAUUUGACCUCUAGCCUGGGAACCUCCAUGUGCCGCUGAAGUGGCCCUAGAAAAGGCAAAAAGACAAAAAAAAAAAAAAAAAAAAAAAAAG